Molecule: ribosomal RNA, 497 nt
Filed under: uncultured bacterium
Lineage: Bacteria
Description: partial 16S ribosomal RNA
Rfam family: Bacterial small subunit ribosomal RNA
Source: RNAcentral
GACGAACGCUGGCGGCGUGCCUAACACAUGCAAGUCGAGCGAACAGACGAGGAGUUUGCUCCUAUGACGUUAGCGGCGGACGGGAGAGUAACAUGUGGACAAACUACCUAUAAGACUGGGAUAAUUACGGGAAACCGGAGCUAAUACCGGAUAAUAUAUUGAACCGCAUGGUUCAAUCGUGAAAGUCGGUUUUGCUGUCACUAAUAGCUGGUUCGGGGCCGCUUGAGCUAGUUGGUAAGGUAAAGGCUUAUCAAGGCGACGAGGCGUAUCCGACCGGAGGGAGUGGUCGGCCACAUGGUAGCUGAGACGCAUACCAGACUCCUGCGAGAGGAAGCAGUAGGGAAUCUUCCGCAAUGGGGGAGAGCCUGACGGAAGAACACGGCGUCAGUUAUGAAGGUGUUCGGAUCGGAAAGCUCUGUUUUUAGGGGGGAACAAAUGUGUAAGUAGCUGUGCAGGUAUUGACGGUACCGGAUCAAGAAGCCACGGCUAACUACGUG